RNAcentral lists this ribosomal RNA (465 nucleotides) under uncultured bacterium. RNAcentral describes it as "partial 16S ribosomal RNA". It matches the Rfam family "Bacterial small subunit ribosomal RNA", at positions 28 to 507 of the family's 1533-position model. The record is from RNAcentral.
GACGAACGCUGGCGGCGUGCUUAACACAUGCAAGUCGAACGGAAAGGCCCCUUCGGGGGUACUCGAGUGGCGAACAGGUGAGUAACACGUGCGUAACCUGCCCUUGACUUCGGGAUAACUUCAGGAAACUGGGGCUAAUACCGGAUAGGAAUCCUUGCUGCAUGGUGGGGGUUGGAAAGCUUCGGCGGUUUUGGAUGGACUCGCGGCUUAUCAGCUUGUUGGUGGGGUAGUGGCUUACCAAGGCUUUGACGGGUAGCCGGCCUGAGAGGGCGACCGGCCACAUUGGGACUGAGAUACGGCCCAGACUCCUACGGGGGGCAGCAGUGGGGAAGAUUGCACAAUGGGCGGAAGCCUGAUGCAGCAACGCCGCGGGCGGGAUGACGGCCUUCGGGUUGGAAACCGCUUCCAGCAGGGGCGAAGCUUGUGGUGACGGUACCUGCAGAAGAAGCACCGGCUAACUACGUG